Bison bison bison is the source of this 98-nucleotide small nuclear RNA. The record is from Ensembl. Lineage: Eukaryota; Metazoa; Chordata; Mammalia; Artiodactyla; Bovidae.
GUGCUAAAAGGACAUAUUAUAAAACUGGAGUGAUACAGAGAUUAGCAUGGCCCCUGUACAAGGAUGACAGGCAAAUUCGUGAAGCCCUGCAUAUUUUG